UUUUUAUCAAAACUAAUAUAAUUUGGCGGCAUCUUAUUUUAUUAGAGGAACCUGUUUAUUGAUCGAUACCCCACGAUAAUACUCACUUUUAUUUAAAUUUUAUAUACCGCCGUGUCAGAAUUAACUAAAAAGUAUCAUUCUAAACUAUUCAUAAAAAUAAUAGGUAAAGGUGUAGACUAUAUAUUAGCUUAAAUGGGUUACAUUAAAAAAAAUUUAAGGAUUAUAUAUUUAAAUAUUUUUUAAAGAGGAUUUAUCAGUAUUAAAUAUAAUAAUAUUUUUAUUUGAAAAAAWUWAAAA
This 297-nucleotide ribosomal RNA is filed under the name Wanzia fako. RNAcentral describes it as "partial 12S ribosomal RNA". The record is from RNAcentral. Lineage: Eukaryota; Metazoa; Arthropoda; Arachnida; Araneae; Cyatholipidae.